RNAcentral lists this small nuclear RNA (107 nucleotides) under Phocoena sinus (vaquita). The record is from RNAcentral. Lineage: Eukaryota; Metazoa; Chordata; Mammalia; Artiodactyla; Phocoenidae.
GUGCUCUCUUUGGCAGCACAUAUACUAAAAUUGGAACGAUACAGAGAAGAUUAGCAUGGCCCCUGCUCAAGGAUGACACGCAAAUUUGUAAAGCAUUCCAUAUUUUU